UACGUAGGGUGCAAGCGUUGUCCGGAAUUAUUGGGCGUAAAGAGCUUGUAGGCGGUUCGAUAAGUCUGCUGUGAAAGUCCAGGGCUCAACCCUGGAAAGCCGGUGGAUACUGUCGGACUAGAGUGCGGAAGAGGCGAGUGGAAUUCCCGGUGUAGCGGUGAAAUGCGCAGAUAUCGGGAGGAACACCAAUUGCGAAGGCAGCUCGCUGGGACGUUACUGACGCUGAGACGCGAAAGCGUGGGGAGCAAACAGG
Molecule: ribosomal RNA, 253 nt
Filed under: uncultured bacterium
Lineage: Bacteria
Description: partial 16S ribosomal RNA
Rfam family: Bacterial small subunit ribosomal RNA
Source: RNAcentral